This 77-nucleotide transfer RNA is filed under the name Sulfurimonas sp. Its description in RNAcentral is "tRNA-Val". It matches the Rfam family "tRNA". Rfam says of the family: Transfer RNA (tRNA) molecules are approximately 80 nucleotides in length. Their secondary structure includes four short double-helical elements and three loops (D, anti-codon, and T loops). Lineage: Bacteria; Pseudomonadati; Campylobacterota; Epsilonproteobacteria; Campylobacterales; Sulfurimonadaceae. The record is from RNAcentral.
GCCUGAUUAACUCAGUGGUAGAGUGAUACCAUGACAUGGUAUUGGUCGUUGAACCUCGAAUCCAACAUUAGGCACCA